Molecule: long non-coding RNA, 23590 nt
Filed under: Capsicum annuum
Lineage: Eukaryota; Viridiplantae; Streptophyta; Magnoliopsida; Solanales; Solanaceae
Description: long non-coding RNA (CANN_LNC012735)
Source: RNAcentral
AUUUUCAAUCAACUAAGUCACCUACCAAACCACAUUCAAAACAAGAAAAUUCGCUUUAAAGUCCCUGCACUUAAACAUUUUCAAGCAACUAAGUCACCUACCAAACCACAUUCAAAACAAGAAAAUCCGCUUUAAAAUCUCUACACUUAAUCGUUUUCAAAAGGAAUUAAGUCACCUACCAAACCACAUUAAAAAAAAAAGCUCUCCUUUAAAGUCCCUACACUUAACCAUUUUCAAACAACUAAGUCAACUACCAAACCACAUUCAAAACAAAAAAAUCCUCCUUAAAGUCCCUACACUUAACCAUUUUCAACCAACUAGGUCACCUACCAAGCCACAUUCAAAACAAAAAAAAAUCUCUUUUAAAGUCCCUACACUUAACCAUUUUCAAGCAACUAAGUCACAUACCAAACCACAUUCAAAACAAGAAAAUCCGCUUUAAAGUCCCUACACUUAACCAUUUUCAACUAACUAAGUCACCUACCAUACCACAUUCAAAACAAAAAAUUUUCUUUUAAAGUCCUUACACUUAACCAUUUUCAAUCAACUAAGUUACUUACCAAACCACAUUCAAAACAAGAAAAUCCUCUUUAUAGUCUCUACACUUAAUCAUUUUUAAGCAACUAAGUCAACUACCAAACCACAUUCAACACAAAAAAUUUUCUUUAAAGUUCCUACACUUAACCAUUUUCAACCAAGUCACCUACCAAACCAAAUUUAAAACAAAAAUAUUUCCUUUAAAGUCCCCACACUUAACCUUUUUCAAGUAACUAGGUCAACUACCAAACCACAUUCAAAACAAAAAAAAUCUCUUUCAAAGUCCCCACACUUUGUUGACACCCAAUUUUGACUCUCCCUUUUUCCUUUAAUUACUUUUCCAAAGCUUCUUGACCAUAAAUAAUUUUCAAAAAUUAAAUAAAAAUAAGAUUCGUAUUUUUGUUUCUAUUUCUAUAAGUUUUAAUAAAAAGGGAAUUUAUUUUUAUUUAUAAACUUACUUUAAUUAAAUAUAAUUAAAUAUUUUGACAUCAAAAUCACAAAAUAUAUAUUUUUUGGUGGUCGCAUUCGCAUUCUUUCUUACUUUAUUUUUGAGGCAAUAUUGUAACCUUAUAUGUAUAUUUUUAUUACACAAAAUAUAUUUUUAUAAGAUGUACAUAUAUUAUUAUUAUAUUCUUAUUUUAUGUAUUUUAUUAUAUUCUUAUAUAUACAUAUAUAUAUGUAUUUUGUUUAUAGGAAAGUUGCAAAAUAUUACGCUAGACGUCUGUACAAAUUAUGUCUAUAAACUAAAAAAAUAAUUUUUAGAAUAUCAGGAAGCAUCGAUAAAUUUAAUUUCAAUAGAAAAAGAGUAUUCGGGCUAACAAUAAUCCAACUUUUAUUUUAUUUUAUUUUAUUUUUCACCUGAACCCAACUCUUAUUUUAUGAAUUUCAGCCAUGAGCCCAGAUAUCAGCCCAAGUCAGUAUAAUUUCUAUGCCCGCUUCGUCAUUCCGCCUUAACAAAUAUAAUUUGACCCAAUCUGUCAAUUUAUUUUGAAUUCGAGGGGUCUCGAAUUUUCAAAUGUUGAUAUAUAUAUAUAUAUAUAUAUANNNNNNNNNNNNNNNNNNNNNNNNNNNNNNNNNNNNNNNNNNNNNNNNNNNNNNNNNNNNNNNNNNNNNNNNNNNNNNNNNNNNNNNNNNNNNNNNNNNNNNNNNNNNNNNNNNNNNNNNNNNNNNNNNNNNUCCAUUCAAAGAUCGAACGGAUCAAAAAAUAAUCAAUUCUUAAUUAAUUUUUUGUAUAUUUAUUUAUAUAUAAUUUGUAUUAUUAUUUUUAAGGUGCUAUUACAUCGGAGGAAUAAAAAUGGAUCAAUACGUGCAAGAUCAGUGCAAUAAAUAAAAAAGUUCACGCAUCUGCUUUUGGCAAAAAUAGGCGUAACUCUCUUCCUAAAACUGCCAAAAUAGGCGUAACUCUCUUCCUAAAACAAUAUUGAUUGAUCUCCUUCCCAAAACAACAACGAUGGCCUCCUUCCCCUCUUCUCCUCUUUCAACCUUCUCCUCUCACCCCAAAUGAGAAAUCUUAAGAUCUCCAUAGCUGGCCACCGUCUGCCACCUACCCAUAUGAAUCUUUCAUUUUUAUCACCCCAAGCCAGCAAAUUACCAAAAAUCAGAGAAAAUCAGUCCCUAAUUUGUGCAAAAAUGAAAAUUUCUGAGGAUUCGCAGCUAAAGCUUGAUAAAAACUGAAAUUUUUGUAGAUGAAUGUCAUAAUUUUGAAUUCAAAUCUCAUCUCCAUAAAAAUAUGCUUCAAAUCCAGACUUUGGAGUUCGGAUUUAGGCUAUAAAUAGCCCCAAAAUCGCCAUCAUCAGGAAAAACUUAGAGAUUAAAGGAAAAACUCGACAAGAAGCCCAAGUUUGCUGCACAAUACAAGGUGUGAAUCUGCUUCCUUUUAAUUCAUUUUCUUUUUCCUCCCUUUGUGCAUGUCGAUUCUGUGAAUACGAAAUUCAUUGUGAUCGCUAAUUAGUGUUGUUGUUGUUGUCUUGGCGUUACGGAUGGGAGUGUGGUUAUAAUUUAGUUAUUUGAUCCUCGAGCAUGUCCUUUAAUUUAGAUUCUGGCUGAAAAAAUGAUUUUUGGUACAAGUUUCGAUCAAGUUGUAAGUUGUCGUUAAUCCCAGUGGGUCUAAAUGUGAUCGUUCAUCGGGUUUAAGUUGUUGUUUGGGUGUGAGUGGUUAAGUAUUAAUUCUGUUAGUCUGUAGAACUAGGUGUACAAUGUGAAUUUUUUAUCAAGCUUACGUUGGUUUUGACUCAGAAAUUGAUUCGUGUAUAAAUGUGUGAUUCUCUUGUUGUUACGUUUAACCUAUUUUGCUUUUGCCGAAAAACACAACUUUUGCAGUCAUAUUAUAUGUAUGUAGGAGUCUGUGUGCAUGCCUCGCUCUUCCCUUUACUCUAUUUCCUUUCAAACUUCAAAUACAUGCUUAAUAUGGUAUCACGAAUGACUUUUAAAUAUAUACCAUGCCUUUGAUUGUGUGAAUUUCCCCUUCCUGCUCUACUUUCUCUUCAUCUCAUUUUUUUAUUUUAUUUUUAUUAUUAUUUUUGAGACAUGUUGUUUUCUGUCUUUAAGUUUUGUUGUUGAUGCCUUCAUCGACCCCGUGAAUAGGAUAAAUCUAACUUCGUGAAAUUGCCUUUGGUUCAAAACCAACUUUUAUGAAUACAUGACCGAUAAAUACGCGAAUGGUUUGGGCUACCUCAGAUUCGGUUCAUAUUAGCACCUAUGUUCGCUCCCUACAAACUAAGUUUAGUAUAGAGCUUUGAAGUUGUCCAGUUGCUUGAUGUGGUUGCUUUAAAUAUUAAUAUUGUUUGUUGCUGCAUUUGGUCCUAUGAGCAAGUAUCCGGGUCUAUCUCAAGAUCACAUUUAUGUAUAUACAAGUUCUUGGGCACGAAAAUACAAGACAUAAUUUGGUUUGAUUUCCGAUUAUGGUAUUGCUGUCCAUUUUUUUGUAAAAUCAGGUCCGACAACAUGAUUUUAUUUUAAGUUACAUGGUUGUCCAUUUUACAUAGAUAUGGUUUGGGUUCGUUUAUUGGGUAUAUAGCAAAGUCCAUUUUGAUUCGUUUGUCGUAAAACAGACAUCUCCUUAUAAUAAAGAUAAGAGGUUGCAAUUUGAAGUCGUUAUCUAAAUUAGACGGUUAAGGCUCGUGUAUAUUUGGCCUAAGCUUUUUAAAACAAUUUGUUACCAUUUUAAUUUUUUUACGCACUGCACUACUUGAAUUAAAGUGAGCAGGGAAUAGUCUCAAUUAAAUUUUGUUUCAUUCCUACACAUGGUUUGAAAACCAAGAUAAUAUAAUUCAUUUUUGUGAAGGUGCUUCACUCUUUUGGUAUAACUUAACACUAUCAUCACAUAAGCACUUUUCAUAUGAUUUCAAUCUGUAAGAACUUUGUUUGGAGCAUGUCCAGUCAAAAAAAGAAGAGAAAGUCGACCUUAGCUUGCAUAUCUCGUCUAUUACUUGUCAUGGGAGUAUGUUGUAACAGGUUGUUUAAAUUCGUUAAUUGUUUCUUGUCCUCUUGAAUCAAACUAGCUUUUACAUAUGGGAAUACAUGUGUGAAACAUUUUUUCACUAGUGUUUAAUACGUGCUUAUAUUGGUAAGUGACUGUGUUCUUUGAAGCCUACUUAGACAAAUUGUAAAAAUGUACAUUUCUUUAGAUAGACCAAGUGAGUGACUUUGUUGCUAGUAUUACUCACGCGUCCAUGAUAUAGGUGAUGUUUUAGUUAGUAAAUGGAGAUCAUUGGCCUCGAUUGACGCCAUUUUACUAUUGUUAUUCACGUAAGUAGUUAUAGAUUUUGGGUACUUUAUUCUUACAAUUGCUUGAAGGGCAUGAGUUGGGUGCCUAUAUAUUUGAGCGUCUCGAUACUGGUUUGUGAUCUAUGUCAUACUAUUGGAGUAUUUACUUGUUAUCCUUAAUCCUUUUUUAUAUAUAUUUAGCUUGUUUCUAAUCUGUUUCCUUAUUCUUUUCUUUUACAUGUACACUUGGGAGCUGGAGUUCCGCAGUGGAACUCAAUUUGACCCGUAGAAUUGGGUUAACGGCUAUAGGAUCACAGAGCUUGGGGUCUAAAUCGCUAGGAGCCGUUUCCUUCUAUGAGAGUUUAUAGUAUCUAGUCCUUUACCUCUCUCAUGACUUUAUUAUUCGUGUUUGUUUCACUAAGUUUGUGUUACUUUGAUUAUGAAUUUUUAUGUGGCCUUGAUUGAAAUUGAUUACCUUAGUUAAUUUAAUUUUGUUUAAACUUUUAAUCAUCUAGAAUUGAUUUUAUUCGGCCAAUUUCAUAUUUAUUUGAUACUCGUAGAUGUAAUAAUGGUAUCUAUGGUUUAACCACUCCUUGUUACCAUUUUAACCUACGAAUCAAACUUUUUAAUAGUAAAUGGUCAACCUUGUCUUUUAAAUGCAAUUUCAAAGGGAAAUAUAUUUUUGUAAUUGAAAUAAAAUGUUUGGUUAUAGUCCUUUUGCAAAAUACUUAAUUAAUGAGUUUUAUCACUUUAAUUAAAAAAUUUCAAAUAAAUAGUUAUAAAUAGGUUUCAACUAGUUAACCCUCUUAUGUUUUCAAGUAGCUCAUCUAUCAAAUUUGAUUCUUCGUUUAACUCAGCAUAAUCUAAACGUUUAUUACUUUACACUUAUUCCUAACGUUAUUUUAAGUUUUCAGAUUUUACAAAUCUCCAAACAGAAGGUAUGCAGACAUUCGUACACUACCAUAUAUAAGGAAUAUUUUUCACUAUUACUAUUCUUAUUCUUACUAUUGUACUAUUAUUACAUAUUAUCAUUUGUGUGUUAUAUCAAUUCUGCUACCACAUUUUGCUUUACUCACUUUCAAUAUAUUGAAAUCUCAUAAAUCAAGUAAAUUUUUGCAUCUUUCAUAUACUCUCACAAAUAUACAUAUUUAUGUUUAUCUUACAAUGAAUGAACUCUCGCAUACUUUAGAGUAUACUUUUCUAUUUUUAUAACAACUUGUUUAUGUAUUUGACUUAAUAUACCUUUAAACAUAUUUUCAUAUAAAAUUAUGACACUUCUAUAUUUUCUACUACAGGUAUAAUAAAGGUACUACUCUUCUCCAUAUUUCUGAAAACAUUCAUAUAUGUAUUUUGCAAUUGUCAUAUUACGUCCUUGUGUAUUAUAGUAUUACAUCUUAUAUAACUUGAAUAUCAUUUUCGAUAAUAAUAAAAGUUUUCUCAUCAUUGUUUUAAGCAAAUAACAAAAUAAAGUUUUUCUAAUAUUUUUCUAAACUAAGCGUAAGGACUAUCUUCGGAUAGACCCAGAGGGGUGCCUAACACCUUCUCCUCGGGUAACCAAAACUCUAACUCCGAAUCUCUAAAUAUUUUUGAAAGAUCAAAACAGAGUUUUCUACAAAAAAAAAUGGUUUUUCCUAAUUUUCCUAAAAAGUUAGGUGGCGACUCUAAAAAAUAAUUUUCAAAUCCCAAGAGUUACUAAACGCUACCAUACGUCGUGUGUUAUUUCGACUGGUUCGAAAUAGGGUGCGACGGAAUGACAACUCUACUGGGGAAUAAUGAACUUAGGUUUUUUAGCUUAACAUGCUUAGUUUAGGAUUUUUAUGUUUUAUUAUGUUAUUUGCUUUACGUAUCUUUAUUAUGUUAUUUGUUAUUUGCUUUACGUAUCUUUAUAUGUUAUUUGUUUUUGUGUGAAAGGACAGUCAAAUCCAAACUUGUGUUCCUUAUUUGUUUGAACAACACUACUUGUUACUGCUUUAUCACUUGCAUUUUCCUAUCGAGUCUUUGGCCGUACACAAUUCACACACUAUGGUUCACGCGGGGGGUGUAUCUAUACUCCCCUAAACCUUCUUUGGAUUCCUUAGUUUCAGAGUUGAUGCAAUUAGAUUAGUGCACCUUCUCGCAGCUAUUCAGUCCUAUUCUCAAAUAUUUAGGAAAAUAUCUUACUUUAGAAAUAGGUCAUGUCACAUAAACCCUAGGCACGACGGUCCAAGGCAAUGUCAUCGCAAUUAGGAAACCACCCUUUUGUCAAAGGUUACAAACCUGUCGACAUAUUUUGUGUGAUGAUUGAUGUUAACGGUCUAAACUAAAAUAGAUAAUGAAUUUGAGAUAAACGACUUAUCAUAUCAUUUACCCUUUCUUUCAGAUGGAUACCAACCAAACCAUACUAAACAUCCAAAUGAUUGCCUUAGUCCCCCAAAACUUACAAACCUGGUAGCAAAAUAUUCAAGCCGUGCAAGGGUCCAAAGUCAGAGAACACUUAGGCUCUUUGGUGUUCCUCAUAGAUAUUCAGGCCAACGAAGCACUCGUAAAACUAUUGGUUGAGCUUUGGGAUCCAUCCACCACAACAUUUCAGUUUACAGACUUCGAAAUCACCCCAACUUUGGAAGACAUCAGUAGCCUCACGGAUUUUCCUCUUGAAGGAAGGUUGAUGUUAGUCCCAUUGGCCAUGGCAAUGGUUUUUUGCAUACUUUGGGUUUAUGAGAAGACCAUGCACCGAGGAGCAUCAGAUACGGUUGGUUUAACUUGGGUUACCUAUUUCAAAUAUUUGGAUAUCAAAUGAGCUAUGACCAUCACGAGAGGACUUCGCUUGUAGCUGAACUAGGUGGGAGAGUGUUCGCACCGUGUCUUUCGCACUUGCCAUACUGGGAAUUCUAGUUUUUCCUCGAAGAAGGGGACAUAUCAACAUCAACUUGAUGCCUUUGGCUCCUCCCAUGUUCAUCGGUUUUAAGAGAUUGAUGUUAGUGCCAAUACUGCUGGCAGGAUUAUUUCGAUCUUUGUCUGCUUGCUCGAGAGGGAAUGAUUUCUUUGGUGGAUGUAACCUGCUACUUUAAGUCUGGGCCGUAGAAUACUUCUAUCAACGAGCGCCAAUCGAAGAUAACUUAUAGGACGACCCCAACAUGAUAUAAAACCAUGAACAAAGGUUGAGAUUUUGGGAGGCACCACUAGGAUCAGAAGAAUGGUGGGCUUAUCUGACGUACCUCACAGGAGAUGCCAUCCAAUGAAAGCUUCCUGGGAUUACAGGGAAAGCACUAUUGAGAAGGUACACUAGUUAUUUUAUUGAGCUAAUUGGAUUGGAAGGAAUCCAACCGUACGCUCCACUUAGAGUUCAACGUCAAUUUGGCAUAAAACAAAAUAUCCCUUUAUGGUCGUCCAUGGAUCCAGCGGAAAUUACUUACGAAAAAUAAGUGCCUUGGGACAGAAUUACGAAGCUACAGGAAAUAUGGAUGAACAUAUCAGCAGAAAUUGGACAAACAACUUGGUACACCUCAGAGUAUUAUGCAUGGAAAGUAGAAGGAGGUCUAAUAACACGACCAAGCUGGGAAAGGAUUCCUGGGUUGGUGGACUACGACAUGGUGUGUCAGGUGGCGAGGGAAAUACUACCUCACAUGUAUCUUACCACCUCCAUGUACCAACAGGUAGUUCCGGGAUAGGUGGAUCACAUGAUUCCUCCAGACGAUAAUGAUGAUGUUAAGGAAGGCACAAACGAGGAAUUAGGCGACCAAUCCAUGAGGAAUGAAGAUAAUUCAGACUACCCAGAGUGGCUAAUAAAUAAUCAAGAUUUCAUGGACUAUUUUCUGUGCCCACGAGAUGACAAUGACAAUGGCCCCACUUGGCCUUAGACUUCCUUUCUUGUUACACUUUCUAUAUUCCCUAAAUAUCCAUAUGGUCAACCCCUUGUAAGCCCUUGCGGCCAUCCUUGUACUUUCUUUCUAAACUAACUUUGAUCUAUUUUAAUGUAACUAUUUGAAGCCUUUGUUUAAUGAAAGUCAUGUUUAUUCUUAAAUCCAAAUGUGUUUAAAUAAACCGUUUAUCAUCAAAUUGAUUGUAACGUAGGCCUACCUCUGGUGAAAAGAGGCUCUAUAUUAGGACGUGUUUGGAUGUUGUCAACUUGGCGUAUAUAUAUGUUACUUACUUGUUACAUUUUCAUUAUUACCCAAACUAACAUAGUUUUCUUUUGCUUUUUCUUUUCUUCCUUUCUUUUGUUUAUUAAUCCCGAUAAAAAAUAAAAAUAAAAAGUUGAUUUGUGUCGACUGAAAAACUGGUGGAAUCCCAAUACGACCUUCGAUCGAAAGACAAAAUGACUAAUAAAGAUAAGGCCGUGAUGAUCCCAGUAGAUGACACCGCGGGGUUCUAAAUGGCCGUCAGAUACUCAGAAUGAUGAUCAAAUGGCCAAUAUGGCACAGGAAAUUGAGGUCCUAAAGAAGAACUCCAUCAAAUACGGGAUCUAAUCAAGCUUACAAUAGCUAGCUUUCCCGCUCAGCCGCAGGCUCCAAGUAUUGAAUUACGUCCAGGCGUUUCCGCUAACCAAGCAAGUAUACCGCAUGCUCAAGACCUACCAGCUUUUCAACCUACUGUCGAAACUAUACCUACUUAUUCAUUUCCUACCCAGAACUUUACUAUUCCAAUCCAUCCAGAAAUACAACAUAUAUCCAAGGCAUAUGUCACUUGUGAGAUACCUGUGCCACUUAUAUAUGCUACCGAAGCUUCUGCUUUCGCAGCAUCUGCGACUCUUAAGGUUCCAUAUGAGGUUGAUGGAUAUGCAAGAUUGAGAAAAGAUGUCCAAUCAAGUGAAGAAGGGUCUAUAUCAUCCCAGCUUGAGAGUCUAAAGCGAGCAUUCAGACAUAUGCAAGUCACCAGGGAAACUGAAAGUUUGGACUACGAUGACUUAUGCAUUCAUCCAGACAUUGACAUGCCAAUGGGAUACAAACCACCAAAGUUCGAUGUGUUUGACGAAAAAGGUGACCCGCAUGCACACCUGAUGGCUUACUGCGACAAGUUGGUCGGGGUAGGAAGGAACGAGAAGUUGAGAAUGAAGUUGUUCAUUCAGAGUUUGUCGGGAGAAGCUUUGACUUGGUACAUCUGACAAGACCCUCGUAAGUGGCGUGACUGGCAGGAAAUGACUAAGGAUUUUAUGAUUCGUUUUAGAUUUAACACUUAGAUUGCUCUAGACAGGUUCUCAUUGGCUAAUAUACAGAAGAAGUCAUUCGAUUAUUUCAAUAAUAUGCAUGGCGAUGGAGGACCAAGGCUGUAAGGAUCCAGCCUCCUUUGGAUGAAAGUGAGCUCUCCAAAUAUUUUAUCCGAGCAUAAGAGAGUGUUUACUUUGACAAAAUAAUGUUGAUGAUGGGCCAAAAGUUUGCAGAAUUGGUCAAAAUGGGAGAUUUCAUAGAAGAAGCCAUCAAGUCGGGGAAGAUCCAAUCUAUGGUUGUACUGCAAGUAAGGCCAUGCAGAUUGCUUCCAUUAAUGGUAAUAAGAAAAAGAGGGAGGACGUCUCAACCGUCACACCAUACUACCGAUCGGGAAAUUCUUCCCACCAUUACCCUAACAACCCCCAAAUUAUUGCAUACGUCCCAGUGUAUAAUACUCAACCGCAUUAUAAUCCUCCUCGAGAUCCAGCAUACCAAAAUCCACCAAGACCAUACGCCCUUGUCCAAGCUCCAGCUCACCCAAAUAGACCAGCCUAUGCGCCCAGACCACGUCCAAAUUUUGAAGCCAGAAAUAUUUGCACUUACACACCAAUUGCAGAACCUUUGGCCCAGUUGUUUGAGAGAUUGAGGGUUUUCGGUUUUUUGCAUCCAAUUGAGGGGAAGGCCCCUGAUUUGACUUCUCAAAACUUUGACGAUAGCAAGCAGUGCGCCUAUUACUCAGGAGUCCAGGGGCACGAAACGGAAGACUGUUACAUCUUGAAGAAUAAAAUUGAGUCUCUGAUAAGAAGGGAUAUCAUCAAAUGCACCGUCGCAGCUCCCAAUGUGAACAAUAACCCUUUGACAAAUCAUGGAAAUCGAGAAGUCAACAUGAUUACUCUAGAGGAGGAGUACGAUUUGGAAGAAACUAUUAUGCCCACAUGAAGCGCAGAGGAGAUCACCACUGCAUCCCCAGCACAUCCAUUUAUCACAGUUCAGUUGAGGGAGCCUAUAACUGUUCUGACAUACCUGUCGAGAGUUGUAGUGAUCACAUCAGCCACUGGUAGGACCGACUAUGACACUAAGGCAGUCCCAUGGGACUAUCAAGCUAAAGCUAAGGGAAAAAUAAUAGACGUUGUUGCGGCUCAAGGGAUGACCAGGUCGGGAAGGUGUUAUGCGCCAGAGGAACCAAAUCGUGGAGUUAUCCAGAAAGAUCAAAACCCGAAGAGAAAUAUCACAGAUGUUGAAGCUGCAGAAUUUUGAAAGAAGAUGCAGCCCAAGGACUAUUCAGUCGAGGAUCAACUCAAGAUCAAGACACCGACCCACAUAUCCGUCAUGUCUUUGCUUAUGAGUUUUGAAGCCCAAAGAAAUACUUUGAUGGAAGUGUUAUCUGGGAUUAGCAUACCAAAAGGAGACAACUAGCGAAACUUUGGCCGCAACAAUCGGGCGAGUGGUAGAGGCAAAUAAGGUCUCUUUCCAUGAUGAUAAGUUACCGUCAGAAGGAGCUGCACACAACAAAGCGCUCUAUAUUACGGUCAGAUAUCAUGACAAGAUUGUGAACAGGGUCUUGAUUGAUAGUGGUUUGGGUUGCAAUAUCUUUCUGUUCUCCACUCUAAGAGAUUUGAGUGUAAAUAUAGAAGAUAUAAGGGAAAGUCAGGUUAAGGUUAGAGCCUUUGAUGGGUCGCAAAGGAGUGUCAUCGAGGAAAUUUACUUAACACUGCAGAUAGGACCAAUAGAAUUUCCUAUCCUAUUUCAGGUCAUGGAUGUGUCAUCUAGCUACAACCUGUUGUUGGGGAGGCUAUGGGUCCACAUGAAAAGAGUCGUUCCUUCCACUCUCCAUCAAUGCAUGAAGUUUGAAUGGGGUCAUACAGAAGUUACUGUCCAUGGAGAACUUAGUCAUCCUAUUUAUUAUGUCAAUUCAGUCCCAGUCACCGAGGAGUUAGAUAGAGCCACUUUUCAUACUCUGGAGAUCAUGAAAGCUACAAGGAUCAAUGAGAAGGCAAUGCCAGCGAAAGCAAAAAUAUCGAAUAGUAAAAAGAUGGUUGCAUCGGAGAUGUUGAAAUAUGGGUAUCAGCCCAAGACAGGACUAGCACCCAGAGUCGAUGGUAUAGUCGAGCCAAUCCAAUUAAAGCAGCAGAAGGGUACUACAGGGCUUAGAUAUGAGCCCAUUUUUGGAGUAGCCUGCAGUAAAGGAUUUGGAAUGACAGUAUUUGUGCCAGCCCGAGUCCCAAUUUCAAAACAAAUAGAAGAUGAAGAUAUCAUAGAAGGAAUAGGAAAUUUGUUUAUGGCCUGAUCGAAGAAGAAUCGGAGAUAGCUUUCAAGAAGCUCACCAUUCGUGAUGCCGAGCCUGGAGAAGCCUUGCAGAAAUGGACCAUCAGCCCAUCCCUGUUUCGCCAGGAGUCUUGGUAGUGUGGGACUGUUGUUGUCUUUUAAAAAAAAAUUAUUUUGUUUGCAUGAUCAAUUGAGGCUUGAAUCAGGCCUAAGCUCUUUUUUCACUUGCCUCUUGUCAAAGCCAGUGCUUUUAUUAAUAAAAGUCCUUAUUUUCAAAACUUAUUUUCCUAUUUUCAAUAUCUAUUUACUUUACUCGCUUUUUAUACUUUUCAGCACAAAUGUUAAUAAAAAUUCUUGUUCCACGAUUAUGACAUGUAACGAAUCUGUUGAGCAAAACACAAGUGAUGAGAAAGAUUACGAGGAGUAGAAUAAAAGCAUGAUGCCUGAAAACCUACCGCAGAAGAUCGAGCAACUUGAGAGUCAGAAGAAGCCUAAUAUCGAUGAAACUGAAGUCAUCAAUUUAGGUAAUAAGGAGACACUGAAGGAAACAUGAGUCAGCAUACACUUGGAAGAUGAAAGGAAACAGGAAUUGAUAAGGCUGCUCAAACAAUACAUCGAUGUGUUUGCUUGGUCUUACGACGACAUGCCUGGUUUGAGCACUGAUAUCGUCUCGCAUCGACUGCCGACCAACCCCUCAGGUUCACCGAUGAAGCAAAAGAUAAGGAAAUUCAAGCCCGAUUUGAGUUUGAGAAUCAAGGAGGAGGUGACCAAGCAGAUAGAAGCCAACGUCGUGAGGGUCAAAACUUAUCCCACCUGUCUAGCCAACAUCGUGCCCGUACCAAGAAGGAUGGAAAGAUAAGAAUAUGUGUAGUCCAAAAGAUGAUUUCUCUCUCCCAAGCAUUCACAUUCUCAUUGAUAAUUGCGUGAAACAUGAGUUGUAGUCGUUUGUUGAUUUUUUUGUGGGAUAUCAUCGAAUUUUGAUGGACAAAAAUGAUGCAGAAAAGAUAGCCUUCAUCACUUCGUGGGAAGUAUACUCUAACAGGGUAAUGCCGUUUGGGCUCAAGAAUGCCAGUGCAACGUACAUGAGGGCCAUGACUACUUUUUUCCAUGAUAUGAUUCUCAAAGAAAUUGAAAUGUACAUGGAUGAUGUCAUCAUCAAAUCUAAAAGGAGUUUAGACCAUUUGGAUGAUUUAUGAAAGUUUUUUGAAAGACUGCGAAGGUACGACCUAAAGUUGAAUCCAACUAAAUACGCAUUUGGAGUUCCCGUGGGAAAGUUAUUGGGAUUCAUUAUUAGUAGGAGAGGUAUAGAGUUAGAUCCAUCCAAGAUAAAAGCAAUCUAAGACUUACCACCUUCUAAGACCAAAAAGGACUUAAUGAGCUUCUUGGGAAGACUUAAUUACAUUAGUCGGUUCAUAGCUCAGUCCACAAUAAUUUGUGAACUAAUAUUUAAGUUGUUGAAAAAAGAUGCCGCCACUGGAUGGACUGAAGAAUGUCAGGAGGCUUUUGAGAAAAUCAAGGAAUAUUUGUCUAACCCACCAGUAUUGGUUCCACCAGAACCAGGAAAGUCGUUGUUGUUAAAUCUAUCCGUUAUGGAUAAUGCCUUUAGAUGUGUGUUAGGGCAGCAUGAUGAUACAGGGAGGAAAGAGCAAGCCAUUUACUACCUGAGUAAGAAGUUCACCCCGUAUGAAGCUAGGUAUACAUUGUUGGAGCGGACCUGUUGCGCAUUGACCUAGGUUGUGCAAAGUUAAUCCACUACCUAUCCGCGUAUACCACGUACUUAAUUUUGAGAAUGGAUCUACUCAAAUACAUCUUUCAGAAACCAAUGCCUACUGGAAAAUUAGCAAAAUGGUAGAUUUUGUUGUGUGAGUUUGACAUUGUGUACGUGACACAAAAAGCCAUCAAAGGACAAGCUUUGGCUGAUAACCUCACAGAAAAUCCAGUGGAUCAACAUUACACGCUGCUCAAUACCUAUUUUUCCUGAUGAAGAGGUGUUUUUGCGGGAGAGAACAUCUCAGAACCAUAUGAUGGAUAGAGGAUGUUCUUCGAUGGAGCAGCGAACUUCAAAGGAGUCAGAAUUAGAGCAGUCCUAGUUUCAGAAACAGGUCAACAUUACCCAAUCUCGGCAAAGAUUAGGUUUCCUUGCACAAAUAACAUGGUAGAAUAUGAGGCUUGCAUUCUCUGGCUUAGGAUGGUAGUAGACAUGGAUAUUAAAGAGCUAUUGGUGAUAGGAGAUUCAGAUUUGUUGAUCCAUCAGGUGCAAGGAGAAUGGACCACCAAGAAUGUCAAAAUCCUUCCUUAUGUGCAAUGUGUUAAGGAAUUAAGCAAAAGGUUUACGAAGAUCGAAUUCAAGCACGUCCCUCAAAUUCAAAAUGAGUUCGUCGAUGCCUUGGAGACACUAUCUUCAAUGAUUCAGCAUCCAGAUAAGAAUUACAUCGAUCCCAUCAAAGUGGAGAUACAAGACCAACAAGCCUACUAUUUCCAUGUAGAUGAAGAGCCAGAUGGAAAGCCGUGGUACUAUGACAUUAAGAGAUUACUUGGAGUAGGAGGAUAUCCAGAAGGCACUAUUGGAAAACAGAAGAGGACUUUAAGAAGGAUGGCCAAUCAAUUCUUUCUCAACUGGGAAAUCCUAUAUAGGAGGACUCCAGACCUAGGAUUACUAUGAUGUGUCGAUGCCACAGAGGCCACAAGAUGUCAGAGGAGAUACAUACAGGAACUUGUGGACCACACAUGAAUGAUAUUAUGCUCGCAAAAAAGAUUUUGAGAGCUGGAUACUUUUAGAUGACCAUGGAGAGGGAUAACAUUCGAUUCGUGCAGAAGUGUCACCAAUGUCAAGUUCAUAGAGACUUUAUACGAGUUUCGUCAAACAAACUCAAUGUGAUAGGUUCUCCUUGGCCGUUUUCUGCUUGGGGCAUGGAUGUUAUUGGGCCCAUAGAGCCUCCUACGUCCAAUGGACAGCGUUUUAUCUUGGUCUCUAUUGAUUACUUCAUAAAGUGGGUUGAAGCCUCGACAUAUAAGGUCGUAACCAAGAAGGUGGUAGCAGAUUUUGUUCGCAAUAACUUAGUCUACCGGUUUGGAAUUCCAUAAUCAAUCAUAAUAGAUAAUGGAGCCAAUCUUAAUAGUGACCUGAUGAGAGAGAUUUAUGAAAGGUUUAAGAUCUCUCAUCGAAAUUCCACGGCAUAUCGACCACAAAAGAAUGGAGCAGUUGAAGCUGCAAACAAGAAUAUCAAGAGGAUUUUGAGGAAGAUAGUGGAUGGUAAUAGAGAAUGGCAUGAGAAGUUGUCAUAUUCUUUACUUGGAUAUCACACCACAAUCAGAACUUCUACUGGGGCAACUCCCUACAUGUUGGUUUAUGGGUCAGAAGCAGUAAUACCUGCAGAAGUGGAGAUACCUUCAUUAAGAAUUAUCCAGGAGGUUGGUCUAGAUGACGCCGAAUAGAUUCAUAGUAGGAUCAAGCAGUUGAUGUUUAUUGAUAAAAAGAUAUUAGACGCAGUCUGUCAUGGUCAACUCUAUCAAAAUAGAAUGAUUAAGGAAUUCAACAAGAAGGUCAAGCCUCGACGAUUCACACCAAAACAGUUGGUAUUGAAUAAGAUAUUCCCUCACUAAGAUAAAGCCAAAAGAAAAUUUGCACCAAACCGGUAAGGUCCUUACAUAGUUCACCGAGUACUCUCAAGAGGAGCAGUGAUAUUUGCAGAACUGGAUGGCACAGUAAGCACGAAGACGAUCAAUUGAGAUGCCAUCAAGAAGUACUACAUUUGAAGACAUUAGGAAUAGUAGUUAUUUCUUUCUUUGUACUUUUUCAUUUUUCUCCAAUGUAACAGAACUACGUAUUAGCCUGACUUCCCACGAUGGGAUACGUAGGCAGCCCACAUCGAAUUCGGUCCCUUCAUAUUUUUACCUUUCCAUUGUACUGAACUACGGCCUGACCUGAUUCUACUUGGAUAUGUAGGCAGCUUGAGUCAGGACCGGUCAUAUCGAACUACGUUAUGACCUGAUUCCUAUUUUAAGGAUACGUAGGCUGCCUAAGUCAGGCUCGUUCAUUGCACUGCAUAUUUUACUUUUCUCGUUGUAUUGAACUACGCCAUGACCUGAUUCCACUUGGAUACGUAGGCAGUUUGAGUUAGACUCGGUCAUUGCAUUUUAUUUUUCCACCCUCGAACUACAUAAAGAACUGAUUCCACUUGGAUACUUAGGCAACCUGAAAGGUUCGGUCUUACCUCUAGGAAAAUCUCCUUUGCUCAUAGUAUAGCCUCAGAAUAUAAGAGAUCUCGCCGCCAUAAUUAUCGUAGCAUCGACAGUCAGCUCCACUAGAAAGAUAAAGCUACAUGGGUCACGAUCGACAAAUGGAGGCUUAACGGAUUUUUGAACGUGUCAUAAUCUAAAAGUGAUAAAGGAUUACUAUAUAUGCUUAAUAUAUACGUAAUAUUUACGAAAACAUAUAUACAUAUAUGUAUUUUUCACCAUAAUUUCAACUUUUUCACUUACUGAGACUCCAGAUUCGGGAGUGAUUGAGCAACCGAGGGAGUGUUGGAGAAUUCCGUAAACAAAGCCAGGAUUCCCAAGUCGACACAAAUCAACACCCCCUCCCAACUAAGAAUGUUUCUUUGAGCGCAGGAAAAUAGGAAUUGAAAGACUACAUUAAGUCAAGAUUUGGGAUAGGAUCAGGGGCAUCAUGCAGCUUACCACUAUGACAUGAGCCAAAUAUUCUUCCUUUACUUUAUUCUUUUUACAUACAUUUAUACUAAUCCUCACAAACUCUAAGAGUUUUAUCCGAAUUCUUUUGCAGGUACAUUUUGAAGACCCGGGUCAGAAACUAAGAAAAGAGGAUCUUCAUAGAAAGAUUAGGCUAUUUACUACUCCCAACAAACUCCGCAAAUCGAAGAGUGUCGUCUGACCUCAAUAAAGUCUAGAUAUAAGCAAACAAAGUCAAGCUUCCGUAUUCCAAAGGACUGUAUAUAAGAAAACAAAGUCGAGCUUUCGCAUUUUGAGGACUGUAUUAAGGAAACAAAGUCGAGUUCCACAUUUUGAAGACUUUACAUAAGCAAGCAAGGCGAUCCUCUGCCAUAUCGGAGGAUACGAAUAAGCAAUACGACACUCUGCCAUAUCGGGAGUUGUGCACCAGCGAUGGGGACGCCCUACCAUAAAUCAAAAAAUGUACAUAAGCAAAGCAACACUCCUCCAUAUCGGAGAAUCGCAUUUCAAACAAACAAAGCACAGCCUGCCAAUCAAAGGCCCACACCAUAGCAAGCACGCAAGAAAGCAACUAUCACAACAACAUCAAGUUCCAAUAGCAAUAACAUCAUUUAGUUCAGACUGAAGGUCGCCUUGCCAAUAAAAGGCAAUUUACCAUUGGGCAAAUGUCCCGCCAUCGGAGGCUUUACUUUUCAAACACUGCUCGCCAUUCAGAUGGUACUUACUUCUCAAUUACUCAGCCGACGGAGGCUAUUUACACUUCAGCCGACGAAGGCUAUUUACAUUUCAGUCAACAGAGGCUAUUUACAUUUUGGACGAUGGAGGCUAUUUAUAUUUCAGCCGUCAGAGGCUAUUUACAUUCAAGAAGAUGCUCAGCCGAUAGAGUCUAUUUACAGUUUAGCCGGCAGAGGCUAUUUACAUUCCAUCCGACGGAGGCUAUUUACAUUUCAGCCAACGGAGGCUAUCUACAUUUCAGUUAUUGCCCCGCCAGUCGGAGUCCUUCAAAAAUGGAGACAAUAUUAGUUUGAAUAUCUAAACUCUACUCUUUAUAUAACGAUUUCAAUUUAUAAUUUUUCGAACGACAGGUAAUUUUUAUCCUGUUACCUGUUUUGUAGGACCAUGCAGUACAAUGUAGAACUACCCUCUUAGCAGCAAACUGGGGCAAGCUAGCGGAAUGUCAAACAUCCCUGGCUACGUCAAGGAUUCCGGCAAAGAAACUCAACUCAACUCAAUUCAAGUUUUCAUUUUCAUAACUUUUAAGUGUCAUUACCCAGUGUCAUCUUAAUCAAGCACUGGGACAAUCUUUGAAGAUCUUUAAUUUCCUUUUUCUCCCAAAAUCCUCAGCAGAUAUUCCUAUCCAACGUCUCCUCAUCCUCAGCUAUUCUGAACAACCAAUUUCGGUACUUGCACCUCUAUCCUUUUCCAUUCGUGCUAAAAUCUUUAUUAUCCUUCUAGAAGGAACCCAAUGUCACCAUAAUUCUAUAUUGGGCAAAUUUUGAGGUUCAUCAAACUUUACUACAACUCGAAAUAUAAAUGGCCUGAUUUCUUGUGGAGCCCGAGAUAUGUAGGCAGCUAGAAAAUCGAAGCCCGGCCAUAAUCUUCCAAACAUUUUAUUUUGCCUGAGACAAAAUUGGUUACGUCAACAUGAGUGCCCAAAGAUUUUCAAUCUUCGGUCCCUCAGUAGCAACUGUUGACACUCAAUUUUGACUCGUCAUUUUUCCUUUAAUUACUUUUCUGAUGCUUCUUGGUCCUAAAUAAUUUUCAAAAAUUAAAUAAAAAUAAGAUUCGUAUUUUUUUUGAUAUUUCUACAAGUUUUAAUAAAAAGGGAAUUUAUUUUUAUUUAUAAAAUUACUUUAAUUAAAUAUAAUUAAAUAUUUUGACAUUAAAAUCACAAAAUAUAUAUAUCUUUUGGUGGUCACAUUCGCAUUCUUUCUAACUUUAUUUUUGGGCAGUAUUGUGACCUUAUAUGUAUAUUUUUAUCAUACAAAAUAUAUUUUUAUAAGAUGUACAUAUAUUAUUAUUAUAUUCUUAUUUUAAUGUAUUUUAUUAUAUUCUUAUAUUUAUAUAUGUAUAUAUAUACAUAUUUUGUUAAUAGGAAAGUCGCAAAAUAUUAAGUUAGACUUCUGUACAAAUUAUGUCUGUAAACUAAAAAAAUAAUUUUUAGAAUAUCAGAAAGCAUCGAUAAAUUUAAUUUCAAUAGAAAAAGAGUAUUCGGGCUAACAAUAGUUCAACUUCUUUUUUAUUUUAUUUUACUUUUCAUCCGAACCCAACUCUUAUUUUAUGAAUUUCAGCCAAGAGCUCGAAUAUCAGUCCAAAUCAGUAUAAUUUCUAUGCCCGCUUCGUCAUUCUACCUUAACGAAUAUUAUUUGACCCAAUCUGUCGAUUUAUUUUGAAUCCGAUGGAUCUCGAAUUUUCAAAUAUAUAUAUAUAUUAUAAUUUACCUUUUUAUAUAUUUUUAAAAAUUUGAACUAUUCCGAUCAAAUACCAAACGGAUAAAACAAUAAUCAAUUCUUAAUUAGCUUUUUGUGUAUUUAUUUAUAUAUAAUUUAUAUUAUUAUUUUUAAGAUUGCUAUUUUUAAGACCGUCUGAUCUUUGAUCAAACGGAUCAAAAUGGAUCAAUAUAUGCAAGGUCAGUGCAUUCAAUAAAAGAGUUCACGCCUUUGCUUUGGCAGAAAUACGCGUACUCUCUUCCUAAGAAAAUAUUGAUAGGUCUCCGUCAUCUCUUUCCCAAAACAACAACAACAAUGGCCUCCUUCCCCUCUUCUCCUCUUUUCCUUCUCCUCUCACCCCAAACGAGAAACCUUAAGAUCUCCGUAGCUAGCCAUCGUCUGCCACCUACCUACACGAAUCUUCCAUUUCUAUCACCCUAAGCCAACAAAUCAUCAAAAAUCAGUCCCUAAUUUAUGCAAAAAUGAAACUUUCUGAGGAUUUGCAGCUAAAGCUUGAUAAAAACUGAAAUUUUUGUAGAUGGAUGUCAUAAUUUUGAAUUCAAAUCUCAUCUCCAUAAAAAUGUGCUUCAAAUUCGGACUUUGGAUUCCGGAUUUUGGCUAUAAAUAGCCCCACAAUCGCCAUCAUCAGGAUCAAGUUGGAUAUUAAAGGAAAAUCAGACUACAUUCACAAAAGUUUCACUAGAAAAGUCACAAAAAAGUUAUUAAUUUCUUCGCUUAAUUUCGGUGUUUGAUCGAGUCCUGAAAUUCGAGUUUUGGCGGCCGGAAUACUCGACAAGAAGCCCGAGUUUGCUGCACAAUACAAGGUACGAAUCCGAUUCUUUUGAAUUCAUUUUCUUUUUCCUCCCUUUGUGCAUGUCGAUUCUGUGAAUACGAAAUUCAUUAUGAUUGCUAAUUGGUGUUGUGUUGCUGUCUUGGCGUUACGGAUGGGAGUGUGGUUAUAAUUUUAGUUAUUUGCUCCGUGAGCAUGUCAUUUAGUUUAGAUUUUGGCUGAAAAAAUGAUUUCUGGUACAAGUUUUAAGUUGUCGUUAAUCCUAGUGGGUCUAAAUGUGAUCGUUCAUCGGGUUUAAGUUGUUGUUUGGGCGUGGGUGGAUAAGUAUUAAUUCUGGUAGUCAGUAGAAUUAGGUGUACAAUGCGAAUUUUUUAUCAAGCUUAUAUUGGUUUUGACUCAAAAAUUGAUUCGUGUAUAAAUGUGUGAUUCUCUUGUUGUUCCGUUUAACCUAUUUUGCUUUUGCCGAAAAACACAACUUUUGCAGUCAUAUUAUGUGUAUGUAGGAGUCUGUGAGCGCGCCUCGCUCUUCCCUUUACUCUCUUUCCUUUUAAAUUUCAAAUACAUGCUUAAUAUGGUAUCACGAAUGACUUUUAAAUAUAUACCAUUCCUUUGAUUGUGUGAAUUUCCCCUUCCUGCUUUACUUUCUCUUCAUCUCAUUUUUUUAUUUUAUUUUUAUUAUUAUUUUUACGACAUGUUGUUUUCUGUCGUUAAGUUUUGUUGUUGAUGCCUUCAUCGACCUCGGGAAUAGGAUAAGUCUAACUUCGUGAAAUCGCCUUUGGUUCAAAACCAACUUUUAUGAAUACAUGACCGAUAAAUACGCUAAUGGUUUGGGCUGCCUCAGAUUAAGUUCAUAUUAGCACCUUUGUUCGUUCCCUGCAAACUAAGUUUAGCAUAGAGCUUUGAAGUUGUCCAGUUGCUUGAUGUGGUUGCUUUAAACAUUAAUAUUGUUUGUUGCUGCAUUUGGUCCUAUGAGCAAGUAUUCGGGUCUUUCAAGAUCACAUUUAUGUAUAUACAAGUUCUUGGGCACGAAAAUACAAGACAUAAUUUGGUUUGAUUUUCAGUUAUGGUACUGCUGUCCGUUUUUCUGUAAAAUCAGGUCCGACAACAAGAUUUUAUUUUAAGUUACAUGGUUGUCCAUUUUACGUAGAUAUGGUUUGGGGUCGUUUAUUGGGUAUUAUAUCAAAGUCUAUUUCGAUUCGUUUGUCGUAAAAUAGACAUCUCCUUAUAAUAAAGAUAGGAGUAUAAAUGCAAUUUCAAAGGGAAAUAUAUUUUUGUAAUUGAAAUAAAAUGUUUGGUUAUAGUCCUUUUGCAAAAUACUUAAUUAAUGAGUUUUAUCACUUUAAUUAAAAAAUUUCAAAUAAAUAGUUAUAAAUAGGUUUCAACUAGUCAACCCUCUUAUGUUUUCAAGUAGCUCAUCAAUCAAAUUUGUUUUUUCGUUUAACUCAACAUAAUCUAAACGUUUAUUACACUACACUUAUUUCUAACGUUAUUUAAAGUUUUCUGAUUUUACAAAUCUCCAUACAGAAGGUAUGUAGGCAUUCGUACACUACCAUAAGGAAUAUUUUUCACUAUUACUAUUCUUAUUCUUACUAUUGUACUAUUAUUAUAUAUUAUCAUUUGUGUGUUAUAUCAAUUCUACUACCACAUUUUACUUUACUCGCUUUCAAUAUAUUGAAAUCUCAUAAAUCAAGUAAAUUUUUGCAUCUUUCAUGUACUCUCACAUAUAUACAUAUUAAAGUUUAUCUUACAAUGAAUGAACUCUCGCAUACUUUAGAGUAUACUUUUCUAUUUUUAUAACGACUUGUUUAUGUAUUUGACUUAAUAUACCUUUAAACAUAUUUUCAUAUAAAAUUAUGACGCUUCUAUAUUUUCUACUACAGGUAUAAUAAAGGUACUACUCUUCUCCAUAUUUCUGGAAACAUUCAUAUAUGUAUUUUGCAAUUUUCAUAUUACGUGCUUGUAUAUUCUAGUAUUACAUCUUAUAUACCUUGAAUAUCAUUUUCGAUAAUAAUAAAAGUUUUCUCAUCAUUGUUUUAAGCAAAUAAUAAAAAAAAAAAUUUUAAUAUUUUUCUAAACUAAGCAUAAGGACUAUCUUCGGAUAGGCCUAGAAGGGUGCCUAACACCUUUCCCUCGGGUAACCAAAAUCCUUACUCCGAAUCUCUAUAUAUUUUUGAAAGACCAAAACAGAGUUUUCUACAAAAAAAAAAAAAAAAAAUAGUUUUUUCUAAUUUUCCUAAAAAGUUAGGUGGCGACUCUAAAAAAUAAUUUUCAAAUCCCAAGAAUCACUAAACGCCACCAUACAUCAUGUGUUGUUUUGACUGGUUCAAAAUAGGGCGCGACACGCUUAACCAUUUUCAAGUAACUAAGUUACCUUCCAAACCACAUUCAAAAUAAAAAUUAACCUUUAAAGUCCCUACACUUAACCGUUUUCAACCAACUAAGUUACUUAUCAAACCACAUUCAAAACAAAAAAAAAUCUCUUUUAAAGUCCCUACACUUAACCAUUUUCAAGCAACUUAGUCACCUACCAAACCACAUUCAAAACAAAAAAAAUCCGCUUUAAAGUCCCUACACUUAACCAUUUUCGACCAACUACGACAACUACCAAACCACAUUCAAAACAAAAAUUUCCCUUUAAAGUCCCUACACUUAACCAUUUCCAAGCAACUAAGUCAACUACCAAACCACAUUCAAAACAAAAAAAAAUUCUUUUAAAGUUCCUACACUUAACAAUUUUCAAGCAACUAAGUCACCUACCAAACCAUAUUCAAAACAAGAAAAUCCGCUUUAAAGUCCCCACACUUAAUCAUUUUCAAGCAAACUAAGUCACCUACCAAACCAUAUUCAAAAUAAAAAAACUCCCCUUUAAUGUCCCUACACUCAAUCAUUUUCAAUCAACUAAGUCACCUACCAAACCACAUUCAAAAUAAAAAAAUUUCCUUUAAAGUCCCUACACUUAACCAUUUUCAAGCAACUAAGUCACCUACCAAAGCACAUUCAAAACAAAAAAUCUCCUUUAAAGUCCCUACACUUAACAAUUUUCAAGUAACUAAGUCACCAAUCAAAUCACAUUUAAAAUAAAAAAUUCCCUUUAAAGUCCUUACACUUAAUCAUUUUCAAGUAACUAAGUCAACAACCAAACCACAUUCAAAACAAACAACAACAAGACCAACAAGAUGUCAACAAUAAUGCUAGUGAAUCGAACAAGGCCACACACGGCUUCACUAGACUUUAAUAUGGACAAUAACAAGAAGAUAACAACAAUGCUAGUGAAUCGAACAAGGCCACACACAGCUUCACUAGACUUCUAUAUGAACAAUAACAAGACUUCAUUAUAAGAAAAUAAAGAGAAAUCAACUUACCUUUGCAUGACCUAAAUUAAAGAGAAAGAGAUAAGCAGUCACUUGUAAAAUAGCAAAGCAAUUCUUUCCCAAAUUUAGAUUAUGUUAAACAAUAAAAUUAUUUGAAAGAAUAAUCUUUGGCUUAAACAAUUGCAACAACACUUUUGUAAAAGCUAUCACAUUUAUGACUUUCCUUUCGACUAACAACAACAAUGGUGCAUGAGUUUAAAAUUAUGUACCAUUUGCCCUCAAAAAUAUCUUGUUUAUAGAAAAAUGUAAAGACUAAAACAAUUUACAAGAAAUGAAACAAGCAAACGUAAUAAAAAUUACUCGUCAACAAUUCAACGUCCUGAUGAAGCACAAAAUCAAACUCAUCACAAAUUUAGAAAACCCAAACAAUAAAGCUUCACUAAUUCGAGCUUCUAGUGAAGCUUAAAGUUAAAAUCAACACAAAUUUGACAAACAAAACAACAAAUCUCAGACAACUCAAACUUCUAAGGAAAAAUUUCCAAACCAAACAACAACAAUAUAGAAUCACAAUAUGAAAUCUUUACAAUUUCUCGGACAACUCAAGCUUCUAAUGUGUGUUAGUCGAAAUGGAUAGUUAAGAGAAGAAGGGAACAACAUACUUGUGUGUGUGAAGUCGUCGGAGGUCGAUUUGCCAUUGCCGGAGGAGGUGCCGUCGCUGGAGGAGAUGUGUAUGUGUGUGUC